Molecule: transfer RNA, 72 nt
Filed under: Sphaerodactylus townsendi
Lineage: Eukaryota; Metazoa; Chordata; Lepidosauria; Squamata; Sphaerodactylidae
Description: tRNA-Ala
Rfam family: tRNA
About the family: Transfer RNA (tRNA) molecules are approximately 80 nucleotides in length. Their secondary structure includes four short double-helical elements and three loops (D, anti-codon, and T loops).
Source: RNAcentral
GGGGCUGUGGCUCUGUGGUAGAGCAUCUGGUUUGCAUGCAGAAGAUCCCAUGUUCAAUCCCCAGCAGGUCCA